Molecule: ribosomal RNA, 319 nt
Filed under: Lactococcus lactis subsp. lactis
Lineage: Bacteria; Bacillati; Bacillota; Bacilli; Lactobacillales; Streptococcaceae
Description: bacterial SSU rRNA
Rfam family: Bacterial small subunit ribosomal RNA
Source: RNAcentral
GAGCUAUCUGCAGUUGAGCGCUGAGGUUGGUACUUGUACCGACUGGAUGAGCAGCGAACGGGUGAGUAACGCGUGGGGAAUCUGCCUUUGAGCGGGGGACAACAUUUGGAAACGAAUGCUAAUACCGCAUAAAAACUUUAAACACAAGUUUUAAGUUUGAAAGAUGCAAUUGCAUCACUCAAAGAUGAUCCCGCGUUGUAUUAGCUAGUUGGGGGAGGUAAAGGCUCACCAAGGCGAUGAUACAUAGCCGACCUGAGAGGGUGAUCGGCCACAUUGGGACUGAGACACGGCCCAAACUCCUACGGGAGGCAGCAGUAGG